RNAcentral lists this ribosomal RNA (460 nucleotides) under uncultured bacterium. RNAcentral describes it as "partial 16S ribosomal RNA". It matches the Rfam family "Bacterial small subunit ribosomal RNA", at positions 338 to 795 of the family's 1533-position model. The record is from RNAcentral.
CCUACGGGAGGCAGCAGUGAGGAAUAUUGGUCAAUGGACGCAAGCCUGAACCAGCCAAGUAGCGUGAAGGAUGACUGCCCUACGGGUUGUAAACUUCUUUUGUACAAGGGUAAAGUGCGGCACGUGUGCCUUGUUGUAUGUAUUUUAUGAAUAAGGAUCGGCUAACUCCGUGCCAGCAGCCGCGGUAAUACGGAGGAUCCGAGCGUUAUCCGGAUUUAUUGGGUUUAAAGGGAGCGUAGAUGGGUUGUUAAGUCAGUGGUGAAAGUUUGCGGCUCAACCGUAAAAUUGCAAUUGAUACUGGUAGCCUUGAGAACAGUUGAGGUAGGCGGAAUGUGUGGUGUAGCGGUGAAAUGCUUAGAGAUCACGAAGAACACCGAUUGCGAAGGCAGCUUACUAAACUGUCACUGACAUUGAUGCUCGAAAGUGUGGGUAGCAAACAGGAUUAGAUACCCGUGUAGUC